UUAGGAAUCUUGCGCAAUGAGCGAAAGCUUGACGCAGCGACGCCGCGUGCGGGAUGAAGGCCCUCGGGUUGUAAACCGCUUUCAGCAGGGACGAAAUUGACGGUACCUGCAGAAGAAGCCCCGGCCAACUACGUGCCAGCAGCCUCGGUAAUACGUAGGGGGCAAGCGUUGUCCGGAUUUAUUGGGCGUAAAGAGCUCGUAGGCGGUUCCGUGAGUCGGCUGUGAAAUCUCCACGCUCAACGUGGAGGGGUCAGUCGAUACUGCGGUGGCUCGAGUCCGGUAGGGGAGUGUGGAAUUCCCGGUGUAGCGGUGAAAUGCGCAGAGAUCGGGAGGAACACCCGUAGCGAAGGCGGCACUCUGGGCCGGUACUGACGCUGAGGAGCGAAAGCGUGGGGAGCAAACAGGAUUAGAUACCCUGGUAGUCCACGCCGUAAACGUUGGGCACUAGGUGUGGGGCGCUAUCGACGCGUUCCGUGCCGUAGCUAACGCAUUAAGUGCCCCGCCU
This 505-nucleotide ribosomal RNA is filed under the name uncultured Actinomycetes bacterium. RNAcentral's name for it is "bacterial SSU rRNA". It matches the Rfam family "Bacterial small subunit ribosomal RNA", at positions 355 to 874 of the family's 1533-position model. The record is from RNAcentral. Lineage: Bacteria; Bacillati; Actinomycetota; Actinomycetes.